AGUCUUAUAUUCAAUAAUGAUUUUAAAUUGCAAAUUUGAAGGAGACGUUUCGUCUAAGGCUU
RNAcentral lists this transfer RNA (62 nucleotides) under Thermistis croceocincta. RNAcentral describes it as "tRNA-Cys". The record is from RNAcentral. Lineage: Eukaryota; Metazoa; Arthropoda; Insecta; Coleoptera; Cerambycidae.